Molecule: transfer RNA, 71 nt
Rfam family: tRNA
About the family: Transfer RNA (tRNA) molecules are approximately 80 nucleotides in length. Their secondary structure includes four short double-helical elements and three loops (D, anti-codon, and T loops).
Source: Rfam
GCGUCCAUGGUUAAAUGGUAUAAUAUUUCCCUUCCAAGGAAGUGUCCCGGGUUCGAUUCCCGGUGGACGCA